Molecule: ribosomal RNA, 253 nt
Filed under: uncultured bacterium
Lineage: Bacteria
Description: partial 16S ribosomal RNA
Rfam family: Bacterial small subunit ribosomal RNA
Source: RNAcentral
UACGUAGGGUGCAAGCGUUGUCCGGAAUUAUUGGGCGUAAAGAGCUCGUAGGCGGUCUGUCGCGUCUGCUGUGAAAACUCAGGGCUUAACCCUGAGCUUGCAGUGGGUACGGGCAGACUAGAGUGCGGUAGGGGAGAGUGGAAUUCCUGGUGUAGCGGUGAAAUGCGCAGAUAUCAGGAGGAACACCGGUGGCGAAGGCGGGUCUCUGGGCCGUAACUGACGCUGAGGAGCGAAAGCAUGGGGAGCGAACAGG